Molecule: transfer RNA, 76 nt
Filed under: Gammaproteobacteria bacterium
Lineage: Bacteria; Pseudomonadati; Pseudomonadota; Gammaproteobacteria
Also listed under: 3 other names
Description: tRNA-Val
Rfam family: tRNA
About the family: Transfer RNA (tRNA) molecules are approximately 80 nucleotides in length.
Source: RNAcentral
GGGUGCUUAGCUCAGUUGGGAGAGCGUCGCCCUUACAAGGCGAAGGUCGCAGGUUCGAACCCCGCAGCACCCACCA